RNAcentral lists this ribosomal RNA (398 nucleotides) under unidentified archaeon. RNAcentral describes it as "bacterial SSU rRNA". It matches the Rfam family "Archaeal small subunit ribosomal RNA", at positions 90 to 459 of the family's 1478-position model. The record is from RNAcentral.
UCAGUAACACGUAGUCAACCUGCCCUGGAGACAUGGACAACCCCGGGAAACUGGGAUUAAUCCGUGAUAGGUCAUCUCAUCUGGAAGGAGAGAUGGCCUUAAAGGGAUGCGCGGGCUUCUUCUGCGUAUUUGCUCCAGGAUGGGACUGCGUCCGAUCAGGCUGUUGGCGGGGUAAUGGCCCACCAAACCUGUAACCGGUACGGGCCUUGAGAGAGGUGGCCCGGAGAUGGACACUGAGAGGUAAGGGUCCAGGUCCUACGGGGCGCAGCAGGCAACUGAAACCUUCGCAAUGCGCGAAUAGCGUGAACGAGGUUUAAUCCGAGUGACCCUCCCGCUGAGGGGUCUCUUUGUCAGCUGUACAUAGGCAGGCGCAAUAAGGGGAGGGCAAGCCUGGUAUC